GUGAGUAGUUCAGAGUUUGAUCCUGGCUCAGGACGAACGCUGGCGGCGUGCUUAACACAUGCAAGUCGAGCGGGGAGUACAAGGGAGCUUGCUCCUGAGUAUUCUAGCGGCGGACGGGUGAGUAACGCGUGAGCAACCUUUCUCUCAGUGGGGAAUAACACAGGGAAACUUGUACUAAUACCGCAUGAGACCACAGAGUCGCAUGACUUAGGGGUCAAAGAUUUAUUGCUGAGAGGUGGGCUCGCGUCUAAUUAGGUAGUUGGUGAGGUAACGGCCCACCAAGCCGACGAUCAGUAGCCGACCUGAGAGGGUGAUCGGCCACAUUGGGACUGAGACACGGCCCAA
RNAcentral lists this ribosomal RNA (345 nucleotides) under uncultured bacterium. RNAcentral describes it as "bacterial SSU rRNA". It matches the Rfam family "Bacterial small subunit ribosomal RNA", at positions 1 to 334 of the family's 1533-position model. The record is from RNAcentral.